This 372-nucleotide ribosomal RNA is filed under the name uncultured bacterium. Its description in RNAcentral is "bacterial SSU rRNA". It matches the Rfam family "Bacterial small subunit ribosomal RNA", at positions 524 to 898 of the family's 1533-position model. The record is from RNAcentral.
UACGGAGGAUCCAAGCGUUAUCCGGAUUUAUUGGGUUUAAAGGGUGCGUAGGCGGAUUGGUAAGUCAGUGGUGAAAUCCUACAGCUUAACUGUAGAACUGCCAUUGAUACUAUCAGUCUUGAGUACAUUUGAAGUGGGCGGAAUGUGUCAUGUAGCGGUGAAAUGCUUAGAGAUGACACAGAACACCGAUAGCGAAGGCAGCUCACUAAACUGUAACUGACGCUGAUGCACGAAAGCGUGGGGAUCAAACAGGAUUAGAUACCCUGGUAGUCCACGCCGUAAACGAUGAUUACUCGAUGUGUGCGAUACACUGUACGCGUCUAAGGGAAACCGAUAAGUAAUCCACCUGGGGAGUACGAUCGCAAGAUUGAA